Molecule: ribosomal RNA, 208 nt
Filed under: uncultured bacterium
Lineage: Bacteria
Description: partial 16S ribosomal RNA
Rfam family: Bacterial small subunit ribosomal RNA
Source: RNAcentral
UUCUCAGUUCGGAUCGGAGUCUGCAACCCGACUCCGUGAAGCUGGAUUCGCUAGUAAUCGCGCAUCAGCCAUGGCGCGGUGAAUACGUUCCCGGGCCUUGUACACACCGCCCGUCAAGCCAUGGAAGCCGGGGGCGCUUGAAGUGCGUUGCCGCAAGGCGCGCCCUAGAGCGAAACCGGUGACUGGGGCUAAGUCGUAACAAGGUAGC